Molecule: ribosomal RNA, 717 nt
Filed under: Bacillus cereus
Lineage: Bacteria; Bacillati; Bacillota; Bacilli; Caryophanales; Bacillaceae
Description: bacterial SSU rRNA
Rfam family: Bacterial small subunit ribosomal RNA
Source: RNAcentral
UCAGCGUAUAGUGCACUCGAGCGAUGGAUUAUGAGCUUGCUCUUAUGAAGUUAGCGGCGGACGGGUGAGUAACACGUGGGUAACCUGCCCAUAAGACUGGGAUAACUCCGGGAAACCGGGGCUAAUACCGGAUAACAUUUUGAACCGCAUGGUUCGAAAUUGAAAGGCGGCUUCGGCUGUCACUUAUGGAUGGACCCGCGUCGCAUUAGCUAGUUGGUGAGGUAACGGCUCACCAAGGCAACGAUGCGUAGCCGACCUGAGAGGGUGAUCGGCCACACUGGGACUGAGACACGGCCCAGACUCCUACGGGAGGCAGCAGUAGGGAAUCUUCCGCAAUGGACGAAAGUCUGACGGAGCAACGCCGCGUGAGUGAUGAAGGCUUUCGGGUCGUAAAACUCUGUUGUUAGGGAAGAACAAGUGCUAGUUGAAUAAGCUGGCACCUUGACGGUACCUAACCAGAAAGCCACGGCUAACUACGUGCCAGCAGCCGCGGUAAUACGUAGGUGGCAAGCGUUAUCCGGAAUUAUUGGGCGUAAAGCGCGCGCAGGUGGUUUCUUAAGUCUGAUGUGAAAGCCCACGGCUCAACCGUGGAGGGUCAUUGGAAACUGGGAGACUUGAGUGCAGAAAAGGAAAGUGAAUUCCAUGUGUAGCGGUGAAAUGCGUAAAAAUAUGAAGAACCCAGUGGGCGAAGGCGACUUUCCGGUCUGUAAAUGGAAC